This 530-nucleotide ribosomal RNA is filed under the name Bifidobacterium longum subsp. suillum. RNAcentral describes it as "bacterial SSU rRNA". It matches the Rfam family "Bacterial small subunit ribosomal RNA", at positions 153 to 698 of the family's 1533-position model. The record is from RNAcentral. Lineage: Bacteria; Bacillati; Actinomycetota; Actinomycetes; Bifidobacteriales; Bifidobacteriaceae.
GAAACGGGUGGUAAUGCCGGAUGCUCCAGUUGAUCGCAUGGUCUUCUGGGAAAGCUUUCGCGGUAUGGGAUGGGGUCGCGUCCUAUCAGCUUGACGGCGGGGUAACGGCCCACCGUGGCUUCGACGGGUAGCCGGCCUGAGAGGGCGACCGGCCACAUUGGGACUGAGAUACGGCCCAGACUCCUACGGGAGGCAGCAGUGGGGAAUAUUGCACAAUGGGCGCAAGCCUGAUGCAGCGACGCCGCGUGAGGGAUGGAGGCCUUCGGGUUGUAAACCUCUUUUAUCGGGGAGCAAGCGAGAGUGAGUUUACCCGUUGAAUAAGCACCGGCUAACUACGUGCCAGCAGCCGCGGUAAUACGUAGGGUGCAAGCGUUAUCCGGAAUUAUUGGGCGUAAAGGGCUCGUAGGCGGUUCGUCGCGUCCGGUGUGAAAGUCCAUCGCUUAACGGUGGAUCCGCGCCGGGUACGGGCGGGCUUGAGUGCGGUAGGGGAGACUGGAAUUCCCGGUGUAACGGUGGAAUGUGUAGAUAUC